RNAcentral lists this ribosomal RNA (460 nucleotides) under uncultured bacterium. RNAcentral's name for it is "partial 16S ribosomal RNA". It matches the Rfam family "Bacterial small subunit ribosomal RNA", at positions 338 to 795 of the family's 1533-position model. The record is from RNAcentral.
CCUACGGGGGGCAGCAGUGAGGAAUAUUGGUCAAUGGGCGCGAGCCUGAACCAGCCAAGUAGCGUGAAGGAUGACUGCCCUACGGGUUGUAAACUUCUUUUAUAGAGGAAUAAGGUGAGGCACGUGUGCCUUUUUGUAUGUACUUUAUGAAUAAGGAUCGGCUAACUCCGUGCCAGCAGCCGCGGUAAUACGGAGGAUGCGAGCGUUAUCCGGAUUUAUUGGGUUUAAAGGGUGUGCAGGCAGAAUGUCGAGUCAGCGGUAAAAUUUAGGGGCUAAACCCGAAAAUUGCAAUGGAUACUGGCAGGCUUGAGUACAGUUGAGGUAGGUGGAAUUCGUGGGGUAGCGGUGAAAUGCUUAGAUAUCACGAAGAACUCCGAUUGCGAAGGCAGCUUACUAAACUGCCACUGACAUUGAUGUUCGAAAGUGUGGGUAUCAAACAGGAUUAGAUACCCGGGUAGUC